Caerostris darwini is the source of this 87-nucleotide non-coding RNA. The record is from the annotation of a GenBank genome assembly. NCBI's taxonomy places the organism in Eukaryota, Metazoa, Arthropoda, Arachnida, Araneae, Araneidae.
CGGUUCUCGUUAGAUCACCGAAGUUAAGCAUCAUUGGGCGCGGUCAGUACUUAUGUGGGUGAAAACCUGGGAACACUGCGUGCCGUU